UCACCCACAGCCACACCCUCCCCUACAGAAGCCCUGACUGCAUAGCCCUGCAUCAUGGACUGGAGCUGGAGAGCACUCUUCCUGGUGGCAGUGGCUACAGGUGUUCACGCACAAAUACAACUGGUCCAGUCUGGGGCUGAGGUGAGGAAGCCUGGGGCCUCAGUGAAGGUCUCCUGCAAGGCUUCUGGAUACACUUUCACAGAGUACUAUAUGCACUGGGUGCGACAGGCCCCAGGACAAGGGCUUGAGUGGAUGGGAAGAGUUAACCCUAACAAUGGUGGCACAGACUAUGCACAGAAGUUCCAGGGCAGAGUCACCAUGACGGCAGACAAGUCCAUGAGCACAGCCUACAUGGAGCUGAGCAGCCUGAGAAUUGAGGACACGGCUGUGUAUUACUGUACUACAGCCACAGUGAUGGGGACAAAGGAUCAGCCCAGACACAAACCUCCCUGCAGGAGGGGCUGGUAA
Non-coding RNA from Phyllostomus discolor (pale spear-nosed bat), 468 nucleotides. The record is from the annotation of a RefSeq genome assembly. NCBI's taxonomy places the organism in Eukaryota, Metazoa, Chordata, Mammalia, Chiroptera, Phyllostomidae.